GCUCGUGUGACGGUGCCGCUCGCUGACCUGGGAGGCCGAGGGGUUCUGCUGGCCCGAGGGGUCAGAGCGGGCAGGAGGGUCCCAGCGCUGGAGGCAGGGGAGGGAGAUGGGGAAAAUCAGAGACAGGGGUAGGAACCAGGGGUAAGAAUGUGGCUACGGCCCGGCCAGACAGUGUCAGUGGGGAAACCCCAGGGUAUAGAGGGGUUAAAAGCGACAGCAGUGGGGGUGAGAAAUCUGCAGUGCUUGCAAAAAAGGAUGGUCAGGGGGCUCCCCCCCGCCGCCCCGGGGGAUGCUACACACAGCACCCGCUCCCAGCGCUGGGUUCUCACACAGUUGCACCCCAAGGCCCAGAUGCUUGGAGCUGCUAAAGGAGCCCCGAUUCUGUGCAAUAUUUCACAUACCCCCCUCUGCUCCCAUAGUUUUAGUGUUUAAAGUAAUCCCUGAUCAGUCGCUAUCUCUGCAUAAUGCCUCAUUGGCGCAGGAAGGCUCUUGGUCUGCUUAGGGAUCCAUGAAUGGGAACCGUUCUGGUGGCAUCUAAGUGGUCUGGGAUGUAGGAGACCCAGGUUUAAGCAGAGGAGGAAAGCAGGUUUGACCAGGCGUCUCCCACAUCCCAGGUAAGUGCUGAAAGAUUGAAGGCAGGACGGCAACACGGAGGGAGGGGGAGGGGGAAGGAGUGAAGAGGGACAGGGGGUGUAAGUAAGGUGAGAUUUACGGGGGAACAGAGGUGUGUGAGGCCAGGUGCAGGAGGGGGACGCAGGGAGCAGGAGGGGUUGGUGGCAGGGGCUAGUGGUUGCACUGAAGGGAGGAUGGGGUGAUGCAGGGGAAUGGGGGGAUUAUGGGGAACAGGGCUGGAAUAGAGGGAAGAUGUGAGUGGGGGGCACUGCGAUGGAAAGCGGGGGAUGUGUGGACGGGAGGCUGUGAGAAGACUGGCUGGGGAAGGGAGAACCAGGGGGGAGGGACAAGGCAGCUCCCCUGCCCAUUGGGGUAAGGAAGGUUGUGGGGGCUGCCCUGCCCAGCAGCCAGCAGGGAUUUGUUCCCCUACGAAUGGCCAAACCAGCAGUGUGGGGUGGGCAGAGUGACUGCCUGUCCUGGAGACUUCCUAUGAAGGGCUGAGAAUUUACAAGGCAAAUGUCCACCCAGAACCCCUCCCCCCAACACACCCUGCUCCCAAUUUCAAUAUUUGUGUUUAAAGACAAUCUCCUUAUUUGGAGGAUCUGAUUCCUGGGCUGACGGCACUGAACAGGGGCUGGUCUGAUUUCGGCGCAGGAUUCGGUGUCCAACCAGAGUCACUGUGAGCUGCAAGGAGUGGAAUUGCGUUUGGUUCGGGUUCAGUGGCAGUCGGCUGAGAAAUCACGUCCACGUGUCGCUCCAGAUCAUCCAGUCUUCCAGGGGACAGGGAAGAGAAUUGACUGUGAUGGAGCCAGCUCAGGUGCUGGUGACCUUCGAGGAGGUGGCUGUGUAUUUCAC
Molecule: long non-coding RNA, 1467 nt
Organism: Gopherus evgoodei (Goodes thornscrub tortoise)
Lineage: Eukaryota; Metazoa; Chordata; Testudines; Testudinidae
Exons: 3
Source: RefSeq, a predicted model, not a curated record